This 253-nucleotide ribosomal RNA is filed under the name uncultured bacterium. RNAcentral's name for it is "partial 16S ribosomal RNA". It matches the Rfam family "Bacterial small subunit ribosomal RNA", at positions 524 to 776 of the family's 1533-position model. The record is from RNAcentral.
UACGAGGGGAGCAAGCGUUGUUCGGAUUUACUGGGCGUAAAGGGCGCGUAGGCGGCUCCAAAAGUCAGGGGUGAAAUCCGGCAGCUUAACUGUCGCAGUGCCUUUGAUACUGUGGAGCUAGAGGGAGGUAGGGGUCUGUGGAACUUCCGGUGGAGCGGUGAAAUGCGUUGAUAUCGGAAGGAACGCCGGUGGCGAAAGCGACGGACUGGAUCUCUUCUGACGCUGAGGCGCGAAAGCCAGGGGAGCAAACGGG